UCCAAACAAAUGUAGGAAUAUGCUGAAGUUUGAGAAUAAAAUACAGCAAAAUAACCCAAAACAGGUGCUCUGAAUAUACUGAAUUAUGUUUUAUGAUUAUUGAUAAUUGAUGUGUAGAUCUCAUUGUACUUACACUGCACAAAACACUACCCAUCACCAAAUAUGUCAUUAGAGAAGACUAGAAAAACAAUUUAUUUUCUUCUGAAUGACCACAAAGGAACACAAUUCUAUGUGUACUCUUCAUGCCUGGAAUUUCUGUUCUUCAGCACUGGGACGUAGCUCAAACUACACAGGAGUUUGUGUUUUCUUGGCAUGAAGCAGAAGAUGGAAUGUCAACAGCAGGUUCAUUUAACAGUCUAUUCCUCCUGGAUGGUAUUCUGCAAUGAAAAUACACGAAAAA
This is a long non-coding RNA of Oxyura jamaicensis (ruddy duck), 400 nucleotides long. RefSeq lists it as uncharacterized. The record is from RefSeq and is a predicted model, not a curated record. Lineage: Eukaryota; Metazoa; Chordata; Aves; Anseriformes; Anatidae. The transcript has 3 exons.